Molecule: transfer RNA, 72 nt
Filed under: Bos taurus (domestic cattle)
Lineage: Eukaryota; Metazoa; Chordata; Mammalia; Artiodactyla; Bovidae
Also listed under: 1 other name
Rfam family: tRNA
About the family: Transfer RNA (tRNA) molecules are approximately 80 nucleotides in length.
Source: Rfam by way of RNAcentral
UCCCUGGCAGUCCAGAGGUGAGGACUCUGUGGUUCUACUGCAGGGGCACAGGUUCAAUCCCUGUUUGGGGAA